GACGAACGCUGGCGGCGUGCUUAACACAUGCAAGUCGAACGGAAAGGCCCUGCUUUUGUGGGGUGCUCGAGUGGCGAACGGGUGAGUAACACGUGAGUAACCUGCCCUUGACUUUGGGAUAACUUCAGGAAACUGGGGCUAAUACCGGAUAGGAGCUCCUGCUGCAUGGUGGGGGUUGGAAAGUUUCGGCGGUUGGGGAUGGGCUCGCGGCUUAUCAGCUUGUUGGUGGGGUAGUGGCUUACCAAGGCUUUGACGGGUAGCCGGCCUGAGAGGGUGACCGGCCACAUUGGGACUGAGAUACGGCCCAGACUCCUACGGGAGGCAGCAGUGGGGAAUAUUACACAAUGGGCGGAAGCCUGAUGCAGCAACGCCGCGUGCGGGAUGACGGCCUUCGGGUUGUAAACCGCUUUCGCCUGUGACGAAGCGUGAGUGACGGUAAUGGGUAAAGAAGCACCGGCUAACUACGUG
Molecule: ribosomal RNA, 468 nt
Filed under: uncultured bacterium
Lineage: Bacteria
Description: partial 16S ribosomal RNA
Rfam family: Bacterial small subunit ribosomal RNA
Source: RNAcentral